This 496-nucleotide ribosomal RNA is filed under the name uncultured bacterium. RNAcentral's name for it is "partial 16S ribosomal RNA". It matches the Rfam family "Bacterial small subunit ribosomal RNA", at positions 29 to 507 of the family's 1533-position model. The record is from RNAcentral.
AUGAACGCUGGCGGCGUUCCUAAUACAUGCAGGUCGAGCGAACAGACGAGGAGCUUGCUCCUCUGACGUUAGCGGCGGACGGGUGAGUAACACGUGGAUAACCUACCUAUAAGACUGGGAUAACUUCGGGAAACCGGAGCUAAUACCGGAUAAUAUAUUGAACCGCAUGGUUCAAUAGUGAAAGACGGUUUUGCUGUCACUUAUAGAUGGAUCCGCGCCGCAUUAGCUAGUUGGUAAGGUAACGGCUUACCAAGGCAACGAUGCGUAGCCGACCUGAGAGGGUGAUCGGCCACACUGGAACUGAGACACGGUCCAGACUCCUACGGGAGGCAGCAGUAGGGAAUCUUCCGCAAUGGGCGAAAGCUUGACGGAGCAACGCCGCGUGAGUGAUGAAGGUCUUCGGAUCGUAAAACUCUGUUAUUAGGGAAGAACAAAUGUGUAAGUAACUAUGCACGUCUUGACGGUACCUAAUCAGAAAGCCACGGCUAACUACGUG